UUGAAACACCAGUUCCAGUAAGAUCAUUGAAGUUAAGCAAUGUUGAGCCUGAUCAGUACCUAAAUGGGUGACCACUUGGGAAUACCAGAUGUUGAAA
Acanthosepion pharaonis is the source of this 97-nucleotide non-coding RNA. Lineage: Eukaryota; Metazoa; Mollusca; Cephalopoda; Sepiida; Sepiidae. The record is from the annotation of a GenBank genome assembly.